GGGGAUUUAGCUCAGUGGUAGAGCGCUUGCUUGCCUAAGAAGCGCAAGACCCUGGGUUCGGUCCCCAGCUCCG
RNAcentral lists this transfer RNA (73 nucleotides) under Rattus norvegicus (Norway rat). It matches the Rfam family "tRNA". Rfam says of the family: Transfer RNA (tRNA) molecules are approximately 80 nucleotides in length. Their secondary structure includes four short double-helical elements and three loops (D, anti-codon, and T loops). Lineage: Eukaryota; Metazoa; Chordata; Mammalia; Rodentia; Muridae. The record is from Rfam by way of RNAcentral.